AUUGAACGCUGGCGGCAUGCUUUACACAUGCAAGUCGAACGGUAACAGGCCUUCGGGUGCUGACGAGUGGCGAACGGGUGAGUAAUGCAUCGGAACGUGCCCAAUCGUGGGGGAUAACGUAGCGAAAGUUACGCUAAUACCGCAUAAGCCCUGAGGGGGAAAGCAGGGGAUCGCAAGACCUUGCGCGAAUGGAGCGGCCGAUGUCAGAUUAGCUAGUUGGUGGGGUAAAGCCUACCAAGGCGACGAUCUGUAGCGGGUCUGAGAGGAUGAUCCGCCACACUGGGACUGAGACACGGCCCAGACUCCUACGGGAGGCAGCAGUGGGGAAUUUUGGACAAUGGGGGCAACCCUGAUCCAGCCAUGCCGCGUGCGGGAAGAAGGCCUCGGUGUAACGCUU
This 397-nucleotide ribosomal RNA is filed under the name uncultured bacterium. Its description in RNAcentral is "bacterial SSU rRNA". It matches the Rfam family "Bacterial small subunit ribosomal RNA", at positions 30 to 435 of the family's 1533-position model. The record is from RNAcentral.